Molecule: ribosomal RNA, 406 nt
Filed under: uncultured Actinomycetes bacterium
Lineage: Bacteria; Bacillati; Actinomycetota; Actinomycetes
Description: bacterial SSU rRNA
Rfam family: Bacterial small subunit ribosomal RNA
Source: RNAcentral
GAGUUUGAUCAUGGCUCAGGACGAACGCUGGCGGCGUGCUUAACACAUGCAAGUCGAACGGUGAACCCCGCUUGCGGGGGGAUCAGUGGCGAACGGGUGAGUAACACGUGGGCAACCUGCCCCCGGCUCUGGGAUAACCCCAAGAAAUUGGGGCUAAUACCGGAUAUGACCGCUGGCCGCAUGGUCUGGUGGUGGAAAGAUUUAUCGGCUGGGGAUGGGCCCGCGGCCUAUCAGCUUGUUGGUGGGGUAGUGGCCUACCAAGGCGACGACGGGUAGCCGGCCUGAGAGGGUGACCGGCCACACUGGGACUGAGACACGGCCCAGACUCCUACGGGAGGCAGCAGUGGGGAAUAUUGCGCAAUGGGCGGAAGCCUGACGCGGCGACGCCGCGUGGGGGAUGACGGCC